Molecule: transfer RNA, 67 nt
Filed under: Aethus nigritus
Lineage: Eukaryota; Metazoa; Arthropoda; Insecta; Hemiptera; Cydnidae
Description: tRNA-Ser
Source: RNAcentral
AGUCAAUAAGUUUAUAAAACCUGUAUUUUGAAAAUACAAAAAGAAAGUUUAAUUCUUUCAUUGACUU